RNAcentral lists this ribosomal RNA (561 nucleotides) under uncultured bacterium. RNAcentral's name for it is "bacterial SSU rRNA". It matches the Rfam family "Bacterial small subunit ribosomal RNA", at positions 355 to 916 of the family's 1533-position model. The record is from RNAcentral.
UAAGGAAUAUUGGUCAAUGGGGGCAACCCUGAACCAGCCAUGCCGCGUGCAGGAAGACGGCCCUACGGGUUGUAAACUGCUUUUAUACGGGAAUAAAUCACGCUACGUGUAGGGUGUUGAAUGUACUGUAAGAAUAAGGAUCGGCUAACUCCGUGCCAGCAGCCGCGGUAAUACGGAGGAUCCAAGCGUUAUCCGGAUUUAUUGGGUUUAAAGGGUGCGUAGGCGGCCUAUUAAGUCAGGGGUGAAAGACGGUGGCUCAACCAUCGCAGUGCCCUUGAUACUGAUGGGCUUGAUUACACUUGAGGUAGGCGGAAUGUGACAAGUAGCGGUGAAAUGCAUAGAUAUGUCACAGAACACCAAUUGCGAAGGCAGCUUACUAAGGUGUUAAUGACGCUGAGGCACGAAAGCGUGGGGAUCAAACAGGAUUAGAUACCCUGGUAGUCCACGCCCUAAACGAUGAAUACUCGAUGUUAGCGAUAUACAGUUAGCGUCAAAGCGAAAGCGUUAAGUACUCCACCUGGGGAGUACGCCCGCAAGGGUGAAACUCAAAGGAAUUGACGG